AACGAACGCUGGCGGCAUGCCUAACACAUGCAAGUCGAACGAGACCUUCGGGUCUAGUGGCGCACGGGUGCGUAACGCGUGGGAACCUGCCCUUAGGUUCGGAAUAACUCCCCGAAAGGGGUGCUAAUACCGGAUAAUGUCUUCGGACCAAAGAUUUAUCGCCUUUGGAUGGGCCCGCGUUGGAUUAGCUAGUUGGUAGGGUAAAAGCCUACCAAGGCGACGAUCCAUAGCUGGUCUGAGAGGAUGAUCAGCCACACUGGGACUGAGACACGGCCCAGACUCAUAGGGGAGGAAGCGGGGGGAAAUAUUGAAAAAGGGGGAAAACCCGGACCCAGCAUUGCCGGGGGGGGGAGGAGGCCUUUGGGGUUGAAAAGCUUUUUUCACGGGGAUAAUAAGGACAGCACGGGAAAAAAAAGCCCCGGCUAACCCCGUG
Molecule: ribosomal RNA, 433 nt
Filed under: uncultured bacterium
Lineage: Bacteria
Description: partial 16S ribosomal RNA
Rfam family: Bacterial small subunit ribosomal RNA
Source: RNAcentral